Molecule: ribosomal RNA, 572 nt
Filed under: uncultured bacterium
Lineage: Bacteria
Description: partial 16S ribosomal RNA
Rfam family: Bacterial small subunit ribosomal RNA
Source: RNAcentral
UGGGGAAUUUUGGACAAUGGGGGCAACCCUGAUCCAGCAAUGCCGCGUGUGUGAAGAAGGCCUUCGGGUUGUAAAGCACUUUUGUCCGGAAAGAAAACGCCGUGGUUAAUACCCGUGGCGGAUGACGGUACCGGAAGAAUAAGCACCGGCUAACUACGUGCCAGCAGCCGCGGUAAUACGUAGGGUGCAAGCGUUAAUCGGAAUUACUGGGCGUAAAGCGUGCGCAGGCGGUCCGCUAAGACAGAUGUGAAAUCCCCGGGCUUAACCUGGGAACUGCAUUUGUGACUGGCGGGCUAGAGUAUGGCAGAGGGGGGUAGAAUUCCACGUGUAGCAGUGAAAUGCGUAGAGAUGUGGAGGAAUACCGAUGGCGAAGGCAGCCCCCUGGGCCAAUACUGACGCUCAUGCACGAAAGCGUGGGGGAGCAAACAGGAUUAGAUACCCUGGUAGUCCACGCCCUAAACGAUGUCAACUAGUUGUCGGGUCUUCAUUGACUUGGUACGUAGCUAACGCGUGAAGUUGACCGCCUGGGGAGUACGGUCGCAAGAUUAAAACUUAAAUGAAUUGACGGGGUC